CAAAAAAUAGUUUAUUUAAAAUAUUAAUUUUGGGGAUUAAAGAAAUAUAGAAAAUUAUUAUUUUUUUGA
Molecule: transfer RNA, 69 nt
Filed under: Fornicia albalata
Lineage: Eukaryota; Metazoa; Arthropoda; Insecta; Hymenoptera; Braconidae
Description: tRNA-Pro
Source: RNAcentral